GGAAUUUUUGGCAAUGGGGGAAACCCUGACCAAGCAACGCCGCGUGGGUGAUGAAGUAUCUUGGUACGUAAAACCCUUUCGACGGGGACGAAGCCGCAAGGUUGACGGUACCCGUAGAAGAAGCCCCGGCUACCUCCGUGCCAGCAGCCGCGGUAAUACGGGGGGGGCAAGCGUUGUUCGGAAUUACUGGGCGUAAAGGGCGCGUAGGCGGCUCGCUAAGUCGGGUGUGAAAACUCUGGGCUCAACCCAGAGCCUGCAUUCGAAACUGACGAGCUCGAGUUCUGGAGGGGAAAGCGGAAUUCCUGGUGUAGCGGUGAAAUGCGUAGAUAUCAGGAGGAACACCGGUGGCGAAGGCGGCUUUCUGGACAGAAACUGACGCUGAGGCGCGAAAGCUAGGGGAGCAAA
This 405-nucleotide ribosomal RNA is filed under the name uncultured bacterium. Its description in RNAcentral is "bacterial SSU rRNA". It matches the Rfam family "Bacterial small subunit ribosomal RNA", at positions 358 to 772 of the family's 1533-position model. The record is from RNAcentral.